Molecule: unclassified non-coding RNA, 263 nt
Filed under: plant metagenome
Description: partial contains small subunit ribosomal RNA, internal transcribed spacer 1, and 5.8S ribosomal RNA
Source: RNAcentral
UUUCCGUAGGUGAACCUGCGGAAGGAUCAUUAUUGUUUAACCGAGGUGCGAGGGCUGUCGCUGACCCGAAAGGUCGUGCACGCCCGAGUGCCCUCACACACAUCCAUCUCACCCCUAUGUGCACCACCGCGUGGGUCACCCUUUGGCUUGUUCGGAGGGGGGCUUACGUUUUCACACAAACUUUGUAUGCAGUGUAGAAUGUAUUUUUUGUUUUUGCGAUCACGCAAUCAAUACAACUUUCAACAACGGAUCUCUUGGCUCUC